Molecule: non-coding RNA, 337 nt
Organism: Mus caroli (Ryukyu mouse)
Lineage: Eukaryota; Metazoa; Chordata; Mammalia; Rodentia; Muridae
Source: RefSeq, a predicted model, not a curated record
UGGUAGAGCCUUGUGCACUGUAAGUUUUGGGAGAAGAGCAGGGAAAACCAAGAAAGAGGUGUCAGGCUUGAGGCCCGAGAAGAAUGACUGACGCCUCCAGCACUCCUCUGAGUGCCCAGCAGUGUCCUUCCAGUUCUGCUGUCAUGGAUCAGCACCUGUAUCCUCUUUACCAGCCUGAAGUCCUGCUUCACACAGGUCAACAACAGGGAAUCUUCCAAGUGCCUCUGAUGCUGAGCUUGCCGAUAACAGUCAUCAAUAUGCCCUGUAUUCCGGUGACUCUUAAUCUUCAAAUGACCCCUUCUUUCCCAUGGAAUCCCAGCCAGCCCGUGACUAUUCC